RNAcentral lists this ribosomal RNA (253 nucleotides) under uncultured bacterium. RNAcentral's name for it is "partial 16S ribosomal RNA". It matches the Rfam family "Bacterial small subunit ribosomal RNA", at positions 524 to 776 of the family's 1533-position model. The record is from RNAcentral.
CACGUAGGGGGCGAGCGUUGUCCGGAUUUAUUGGGCGUAAAGAGCUCGUAGGCGGCUCAGUAAGUCAGGUGUGAAAACUCCAGGCUCAACCUGGAGACGCCACUUGAUACUGCUGUGGCUAGAGUCCGGUAGGGGAGCAUGGAAUUCCUGGUGUAGCGGUGAAAUGCGCAGAUAUCAGGAGGAACACCGGUGGCGAAGGCGGGUCUCUGGGCCGUAACUGACGCUGAGGAGCGAAAGCGUGGGAGCGAACAGG